UUGGCAACCCUACAAGCUAAAGUCCUCUCUUUAUCUGCAGGAAAGGCAGAAGCAGUGCAGACAUCCUCUAGAUUCACUCACCAACACCAGCCAAUGUGCCUCAACUCUGCCCUAGAGAGACAACCUUAAGGACAAAGAGAGUAGGUUUUCUCCAGGCCCAUUCAAUCCUUGGCCUCU
RNAcentral lists this small RNA (177 nucleotides) under Chrysemys picta bellii (western painted turtle). Its description in RNAcentral is "TUC338 (ENSCPBG00000023185.1)". Lineage: Eukaryota; Metazoa; Chordata; Testudines; Emydidae. The record is from RNAcentral.